CACGUAGGCGGGUUCGUCAGCCAAUUGUGAAAGCCCAGGGCUUAACCCUGGAAUUGCAGUUGGAACUGCGAAUCUUGAAUACCUGAGAGGAUGAGGGAAUUCCUGGUGUAGAAGUGAAAUUCGUAGAUAUCAGGAGGAACACCCGAGGCGAAGGCGCUCGUCUGGCAGUGUAUUGACGCUGAGGUGCGAAAGCGUGGGUAGCAAACA
This 207-nucleotide ribosomal RNA is filed under the name uncultured bacterium. Its description in RNAcentral is "partial 16S ribosomal RNA". It matches the Rfam family "Bacterial small subunit ribosomal RNA", at positions 568 to 774 of the family's 1533-position model. The record is from RNAcentral.